UUUAAGUUCCUGUUCUAUACAUUUUUGUAGCCUUCUCAGUAUCUAUUCCAGUGCUGGUGCGUAUGCUAGGUGUUUCAUAAAUGUUUUAUUGAAUUUUUGAAUUUGCUAUUACAAGAAUUAUAAUCAGGUAAGCAUGAUUUUUUUCCAAUUUUGCCCUCAGUAGUCCCAUGCUCUUCACUUGAACUUUCCAUUGCUUUUAACAGUGUGGUAUCUCCUCUGGGAUUCCCAGGGUCUCCUUUUGAUGGAAUCUGUAGGCUGCCCAUUUCCUGGUGUAGGGGCCAUGAAUGAUUGCUUGUAUAUUCUCACCAGUGCUUUUCUUUAUUCCCUUUUGGUUUCAUCUUGUGAAGUAAAUCUAGUAAACCCCUAUAAACACAUCACCAUGUUUGCUUCAAAGGUAAUUUGGAAAUGGGGAUAGACAUCUUCAGGAAAGACAGGCAAAGGAUUUAUUAAGCUUCUUGUUUCUUUUAUUCCUGAAAGUAUCUCUUUUUUUUGCAGAGAGAUUGCUAAAUGUUUCCAUGUCUCUUGCAAGGAACAAAAAUCCUCUCAGAAUAGGUCAAAUGACAAUUUGGAUUGUUCUAGUUAAACAGGCAGCAUCACAGCCAUUCGUGGACAGGAAGCAUAAUGUAGCCAGAACCGACCAGAGCCAGGACAGGAAGGAUCCAUUGUUUAUUUUGUCAAGUGAGAAAGACCACAAACAGGCAGAUGUCCAAGCCACCAUGAUUCGAAGCAAACUGAGAAAAGUUCCCAGGUUUAGAGCCAUGUUCAGUAACCUGAUCCAUUAUCCAAGAUAUUCUGUAUAUUGGAGCAAGGCAGAUCCCGUCCCAGCAUUCGUCCGUCGGGAGUGGAAGGGACAGGAGGAGAAACACAGAGAAGCCCUCCAGCAGCUUGCCACAACUGACACUUCUUUUCAGAUGCCUAAAGAGGUUUAUGAAGAUCCUGAAGUUACUGGAAGGAAUCGUUAUAAAUAUUUUGAAAGGCCUUUCCUUCCAUUUUUGGAGCAGAUGCCACUGAAUGUUGUUUUUGAAACAACCAAGAUAGAGGCAUAUACUUUUCCUCCUGCUUCUCCUGAUUACCCGCCCAGCCCUUCAAAGUGCACUGUGGGCACUCAGACAGCUUAUCGGGAUGCCGAAGUUCAGACGGAUCCGUAUUCCCCAGAGUACGUGGUAUGUCAGGACUCGAUCCCUGAGCUCCUGACCCUGGCCACUCUUACUUGGGGUCGCGGUCUCCCGGCAGGACAAGCCGAGGUGGAGAUGAUAGAACGUGCCCGGGAGAAGCGCGCUUGGGAGGCCACUCUGCCCCCUCUGAGUGACACCGCCCAGUUUGAGAAGAGGAGGAGGAUGAUGAACGUGAUGGAGAGGAAGGAGUGGGCCUUCAGAGAGCAGGAGAUUGAAAAAUUGCAGGAGAUUCGCCUAGAAGUUCUAAAACAGCUGUUGAAAAAGCGUGAUGAGAAUCAAAAUGAAGUGAACACGAAGCACUUGAACGCCCAGUGGUCUAAACUGCAGGAAGCAAAGGAGGCAAAGCUGGCACAAAUUCAGCGUGCACACGUGUCAGCAAUCAGAAAACUUAUGGGAAAGGGAAAGAAUAUAGAAGGAAAGUUGGAGAGAAGAAAUAUCAUCAAGGAUUAUUCUGAUUAUGCAUCACAGGUCUAUGGACCUCUGUCACGCCUUGGUCGUUUCCCAGACAACAACUCAGAGGACUUUGUAGUAAAAAACCUCUAUCUCAACACCUAUGAAGGAUUAGUCGAACUUGAGUCAUGUCUCCCGGAUUUUGUGACUCAACCCCGCAUCAGACCUCCAAAACCCAAAGUCACUACCACCAAAGCUGGCUUUCUAAAGAGGGUAGCAAGGAUGGACCAUGAGCUGGCAGAAGUUCAUAAGGUACUGUUGGAGAAGAAGAAUAAGGUUCUUGAACCAAAGAAACCUCCGCGCUUUCUUCAAAGAAAGCUAAUUCCCCAACCUCGGCUCCCAACUCCAACCUUGGAAAUGGGCUCCAAUGAAGAAGAGGAUAUAGAAAUGGCUGUGAUCUACCUGCAAAAGUUACUCCGAGGCAGAGUCGUUCAGAACAUGAUGUUUGAAGGGAAAGAAAAGCGACUGGAGUUGAUCCAGGAGCUGCGCACGAGCCACGCACUACAGGAAGAUGACAGGCUGGUGAAGAAAGCCGAGAAGCAAGUCACCCUGGCCUUGCAACGCCAGAGGAACUUGCAUGAGCACAAGGUGUCACUGGUGGAAAACCAUUUGGCUGGACUGGAAGGAAGGGUGCUGGCAGACAUGUUUGACUUCCUGUCCAAAGAGCUGGUGAGACUACAGGAAGAGAGGAGGAUCCAUGCCUUCGCCAUGCUGGCCGAGCGACAGCGGAGGAUGCGGGAAGCCGAAGAGAGUGGUCGGCGCCAGGUGGAGCAAAGGCGCCUGCGGGAGGAGGACCAGAUAUUUAAGGAGGUUCUUAAAGUUCACCAAAGUACUGUAACUUCCUAUCUGGAAGACAUAAUACUGAACACCGAAGAGAACACUGCAGAAGAACAAGCCAGGGCAGAAAUUGAGAAGGUGGCUAAGGAAAUUAAUGACAUUGCUUAUGAAAUGGAGAGCCGUCGAACUCAGCUCCAGUCAGAGGAGAUUGUCGCAGAGUUGGUUUAUAGUUUCUUGAUCCCAGAGGUGCAAAAGAACUUUGUCAAAGAAAAAGACUUUCAGAGUAAAAUUCCUCCGUCUCUUCGGCACAGUGAGGAACGCUCAGCGGAAGCACGUUCUUGCAGCCCAUCAGGUCAUCCACAGGCAGACGGAAGCCAUGCUCAGACAGAAUUUUGCUGAGCAAAAGCAAGAUGAGGUCCCAGACACUGACAAUUUACCUGAGGAGGGACAAUUUAGAGAGGAAGAAACUCAAAAUGAGGAAAACAGCUAAGAUUAUGAUCUUUUUUAAAGGAAGAUCUACAAAUCAUCGUAAAGGAUCCAGUAGUCUGUGCUUCUCCCAAGAUGGGCAGCUCUUAAGGACUUGUCAGUGUGAUUCAUGAGGAAAGAGGUUUAUUUCCCUUAAAUUCCCACUAACUUAAAAUGAUUUUCAGGAAUAAUAAUCAAAUGAAGGAGCUUUAUUUUCUUUGGUGUUUCCUAGACGCUCUACUUCAAGAGAAAAUUUUUUCAUGUAUCAUUUCAACAUUUUGUUAACUAUGAGGACAUCCUGGCUUGUUGAAUCAAACAAAAAGAAAUGUUAUUGAAUA
Equus caballus (horse) is the source of this 3205-nucleotide non-coding RNA. The record is from RefSeq and is a predicted model, not a curated record. NCBI's taxonomy places the organism in Eukaryota, Metazoa, Chordata, Mammalia, Perissodactyla, Equidae.